UUUGAUAAAAUCCCCCAAACCAUACUUGGCUCUCUCUAUCCGCCAUCACCCCUGACACUUCCUCCUCGCCUGUCUCCACCAGCGGCCGCCCCCGAUAGCACAUCUCACCACCGAUGGUUGCUCCGCAUGGAUCACAUCCCUGCCUAUUAGAUCCAUGUGCCUCCAGAUCCAUGCUUGCCAAGACAAGCUGUAAACGCGUGCACUGACGACAGUGGCGGCGAACGGCAAACAUCCCCUGAUGGGUUAUUGUCCUGUUGCAGAUCCGACCAUAGGCAGGAUCCAUCGAGCGCACGGAGGUUGCCGCUGCGGACGAGUCGUGGGGUGUCGAGAUGCCGCUGUGGCUGCGCAUCGGGAGCGCUCAUCGGCGGGCGGGGCCUACCAUACUGACGCCGUCAUGAAAGAUUGAGGACGAUGGAGGCUAGGAGGGGACCUCCGAUUUCACUGUAGCGAGGAGGAGCUCGGCGUUGACUUUGGUGCGCUAGCUCAGUGCUAGCCUCUAGGAGCACGGCAAUGGAGAACUGGACUAGGUGAGAGUUUCCGUUCACUCUGGUUUCAUACGAAUUAGAUUCUGAUGGAUUGUUGUGGAUUUUAUGCCUUGUUUCGUUCUUUUCAAUUCUGAAAGCAAAUUCACAUUAUAUUUGCAGACGCCACAACUUCAAACUUGAUACAAAUUGAAAUUUAAUCGCCUGCCACAGCAGAACUAUGUAGGUGGCAGAAGCAAGAUACAAUAGUGUUUUUAUUCGUCUAAAUGUGUUUUUAUUUUGGCUUGGUAUUUUGCUGUAGGUGAGCCAGCCUAACUCUUUAUGGGAGAAUCCUCAUGCAGCAGCAAUUUCGUGGAAGCCGUCCUAAACGCCAGAGCCAUGAGGUCAGGAUGUUCAGCUUAAUAAUCAUGGACGAGCAAUCUGUAUAGGGCAGAGCAAACUUAUUUUAGACAAUAUAUUCCUCAUGAAAUCCAUGUGCAUUCAUUGCCUCUCUAAUCUCCCUCAAGAGAUUGGGUGUGUCGUGUUGCUUUCUUAUGCUCAGUUUGUCAUAUAAAAUUCAGUUGCAGAUACUAUAGACAGUUUGGCAUUGUCUAAUACACCAACUAUUAACAUUGUUACAGAUACGAAGCAUGUGACAUAGUAUUAAGUACCAUACUCCUCAUGCAUGAUGAUUUUUAUUUUUAGUUAGCAACAUUGUUACAACUACAGUGCAGCCGUAGCAAGCUCUUCCUACCGGAGCCGUUUCUUUUAAAGAAUACUAACACAGACUGUGCAUAUGCAAAUACUUUCUACAAUAGAACUUGCUGAUUAAGACAUAAUGUCAAAGGUACUGUUUUUCUUGUUCUAUCUUUGAUCUGUCACUGUUGGCAAAUGGAAUGUUUUGUUGUAAAUCUGAACCUAUACUUGUGACAUUAUAUUUGAUGCCUUUCUUAUUUUCCUAAGAUACUAAGGUGCAUUUGUGAACAUAUAAUAAAUGUGCACAGAAAAUCUACAAAAAAUACAGCAGCUAGCAUAUGUUCCCAGUAGACUACAACAAAAUUUUCAUAGCAUUUUACCAAGGAUAACUUGCUCUACUCACAAACAUAGAAUGUUCUGGACACAAGUAUAGAAAUCCGAAUUAUUUGGUGUUAUUGUUGCUAGGCUCAAAUGGAGGCUUAUGUUGCUAAACCAACAAAAGAAGGCUAAGAUCCGAAGACUGCCCUGUUACUGCAGUUGUGUUGCUGCUGCACUUAUGUUCGAACAAGUUGAAAUUUGAGAUUUCUGACUUAUCUUAUGUGUAAUGAAUUGGUGGAUGGAUGUAAUGGUAUUGAAUUUCAAUCUGAUUUGGUAUGUGUUGAAAAGUUAUAUGGACACAAUUGCAUGUGAUGAAAUAAUGUAUAUGGGCUAAAUUGUGUGGGUUGAA
Molecule: long non-coding RNA, 1884 nt
Filed under: Sorghum bicolor (sorghum)
Lineage: Eukaryota; Viridiplantae; Streptophyta; Magnoliopsida; Poales; Poaceae
Description: long non-coding RNA (SBIC_LNC004492)
Source: RNAcentral